AAAGUCGUAACAAGGUCUCCGUAGGUGAACCUGCGGAGGGAUCAUUAACAGGUUCUGGUCGGCCAUCCGGUCGCACCGUCCCUCCCUCUGUCUACCGUACACUGUUGCUCGAGCGGGCGCAAGCCCGCGCGGGAUAACCAUAACCCUUCUUAGUGAAUGUCUGAGUAUCAACAAAUACAAACAAAACUUUUAACAACGGAUCUCUUGGUUCCA
RNAcentral lists this unclassified non-coding RNA (213 nucleotides) under Ascomycota sp. RNAcentral's name for it is "partial contains small subunit ribosomal RNA, internal transcribed spacer 1, and 5.8S ribosomal RNA". The stretch from base 1 to 47 matches the Rfam family "Eukaryotic small subunit ribosomal RNA", at positions 1785 to 1831 of the family's 1831-position model. Lineage: Eukaryota; Fungi; Ascomycota. The record is from RNAcentral.